RNAcentral lists this ribosomal RNA (1178 nucleotides) under uncultured fungus. RNAcentral's name for it is "eukaryotic LSU rRNA". The stretch from base 547 to 1178 matches the Rfam family "Eukaryotic large subunit ribosomal RNA", at positions 1 to 649 of the family's 3401-position model. The record is from RNAcentral. Lineage: Eukaryota; Fungi.
AAGUCGUAACAAGGUUUCCGUAGGUGAACCUGCGGAAGGAUCAUUACCGAGUUAGGGUCUUAUGGCCCGACCUCCAACCCCAUGUCUACUAUACCGUGUUGCUUUGGCGGGUCCGCCCUUUGGGGCCGCCGGGGGCAUUACUGCUCCUGGCCCCGUGCCUGCCAGUAGCCUCUUUAAAUUCUUUUUUAUAACCUUUGUCGUCUGAGUCCAAAUAUCAAAUCAUUUUAAAACUUUCAACAACGGAUCUCUUGGUUCUGGCAUCGAUGAAGAACGCAGCGAAAUGCGAUAAGUAAUGCGAAUUGCAGAAUUCAGUGAGUCAUCGAAUCUUUGAACGCACAUUGCGCCCUUUGGUAUUCCGAAGGGCAUGCCUGUUCGAGCGUCAUUAUCAAACCAUCAAGCGUGGCUUGUCGUUGGACCCGUUCGUCGCCCGGCGACAGAUCCAAAAGAUAGUGACCGGCGUCGCGGUGACCCUACAUGCAACGAGCUUGUAAGAGCAUGCACUUAGUGGUCGUCCGGCUCGGUUAUCACCCUUUAUUUUCUCAAGGUUGACCUCGGAUCAGGUAGGAAUACCCGCUGAACUUAAGCAUAUCAAUAAGCGGAGGAAAAGAAACCAACAGGGAUUACCCUAGUAACGGCGAGUGAAGCGGUAACAGCUCAAAUUUGAAAUCUGGCCUUCACGGGUCCGAGUUGUAAUUUGUAGAGGAUGUUUCGGGCAAGGCUGUGGUUUAAGUUUCUUGGAACAGAACGUCAUAGAGGGUGAGAGUCCCGUCUAGAACCGAUGGCCGCGUCCAUGUGAAACUCCCUCGACGAGUCGAGUUGUUUGGGAAUGCAGCUCAAAAUGGGUGGUAAAUUUCAUCUAAAGCUAAAUAUUGGCCAGAGACCGAUAGCGCACAAGUAGAGUGAUCGAAAGAUGAAAAGCACUUUGAAAAGAGAGUUAAACAGUAUGUGAAAUUGUUGAAAGGGAAGCGCUUGCAACCAGACUUGUGUAUAGCGGUUCCCCCGGUCCUCUAAUCGGGUUAUUCUGUUAUAUUCAGGCCAGCAUCGGUUUGGGUGGUCGGUUAAAGGUCCCGGGAAUGUAUCUACCUUCGGGUCGACUUAUAGCCCAGGGCGUAAUGCGGCCUAUCUGGACCGAGGAACGCGCUUUUGCUCGGAUGCUGGCGUAAUGGUUGUAAGCGGCC